RNAcentral lists this ribosomal RNA (241 nucleotides) under uncultured Staphylococcus sp. Its description in RNAcentral is "partial 16S ribosomal RNA". It matches the Rfam family "Bacterial small subunit ribosomal RNA", at positions 99 to 334 of the family's 1533-position model. Lineage: Bacteria; Bacillati; Bacillota; Bacilli; Caryophanales; Staphylococcaceae. The record is from RNAcentral.
CGGACGGGUGAGUAACACGUGGAUAACCUACCUAUAAGACUGGGAUAACUUCGGGAAACCGGAGCUAAUACCGGAUAAUAUUUUUAACCGCAUGGUUCAAAAGUGAAAGACGGUCUUGCUGUCACUUAUAGAUGGAUCCGCGCUGCAUUAGCUGGUUGGUAAGGUAACGGCUUACCAAGGCAACGAUGCAUAGCCGACCUGAGAGGGUGAUCGGCCACACUGGAACUGAGACACGGUCCAG